Molecule: ribosomal RNA, 368 nt
Filed under: uncultured bacterium
Lineage: Bacteria
Description: bacterial SSU rRNA
Rfam family: Bacterial small subunit ribosomal RNA
Source: RNAcentral
GACGAACGCUGGCGGCGCGCCUAAUACAUGCAAGUCGAACGGGUCUCCUUCGGGAGGUCAGUGGCGGACGGGUGAGUAACACGUGGGUGACCUGCCCCGAAGUGGGGAAUAACGCUGCGAAAGCAGCGCUAAUACCGCAUAUGCUUAACGGUCCAAUCUGUUAAGCAAAGCAGCAAUGCGCUUUGGGAGGGGCCUGCGGCAGAUUAGCUAGUCGGUGGGGUAAUGGCCUACCGAGGCGACGAUCUGUAGCUGGUCUGAGAGGAUGACCAGCCACACUGGGACUGAGACACGGCCCAGACUCCUACGGGAGGCAGCAGUAAGGAAUAUUCCACAAUGGGGGAAACCCUGAUGGAGUGACGCCGCGUGCG